This 1545-nucleotide ribosomal RNA is filed under the name Hallella multisaccharivorax DSM 17128. Its description in RNAcentral is "bacterial SSU rRNA". It matches the Rfam family "Bacterial small subunit ribosomal RNA". The record is from RNAcentral. Lineage: Bacteria; Pseudomonadati; Bacteroidota; Bacteroidia; Bacteroidales; Prevotellaceae.
AUGGAGAGUUUGAUCCUGGCUCAGGAUGAACGCUAGCUACAGGCCUAACACAUGCAAGUCGAGGGGAAACGAAGCGGGAGCUUGCUUCUGCUGUCGUCGACCGGCGCACGGGUGAGUAACGCGUAUCCAACCUGGCCUGAGGUAAGGGAUAAUCCGCAGAAAUGUGGUCUAAUACCUUAUGUGCUCCUAUGAGGCCAUCUGAAGANNNNNNNNAGGAGCAAAGAUUUAUCGCCUUAGGAUGGGGAUGCGUCUGAUUAGAUAGUUGGCGGGGCAACGGCCCACCAAGUCAUCGAUCAGUAGGGGUUCUGAGAGGAAAGUCCCCCACAUUGGAACUGAGACACGGUCCAGACUCCUACGGGAGGCAGCAGUGAGGAAUAUUGGUCAAUGGGCGAGAGCCUGAACCAGCCAAGUAGCGUGCAGGAUGACGGCCCUAUGGGUUGUAAACUGCUUUUAUGCGGGUAUAAAGGAGCAUACGUGUAUGUUUUUGCAGUUACCGCAUGAAUAAGGACCGGCUAAUUCCGUGCCAGCAGCCGCGGUAAUACGGAAGGUUCUGGUGUUAUCCGGAUUUAUUGGGUUUAAAGGGAGCGCAGGCUGUCAGAUAAGCGUGUUGUGAAAUGCGGUUGCUCAACAUCCGCACUGCAGCGCGAACUGUUUGACUUGAGUACGCACGACGUUGGUGGAAUUUGCCGUGUAGCGGUGAAAUGCUUAGAUAUGGCGAAGAACUCCGAUUGCGAAGGCAGCUGACGGGAGCGCUACUGACGCUCAUGCUCGAAAGUGCGGGUAUCGAACAGGAUUAGAUACCCUGGUAGUCCGCACGGUAAACGCUGGAUGCCCGCUAUAUGCCCNNNNNNNNNNUUAGGGUAUGUGGCCAAGUGAAAACGUUAAGCAUCCCACCUGGGGAGUACGCCGGCAACGGUGAAACUCAAAGGAAUUGACGGGGGCCCGCACAAGCGGAGGAACAUGUGGUUUAAUUCGAUGAUACGCGAGGAACCUUACCCGGGCUUGAAUUGCUGAGGAAGGCUUCAGAGAUGGAGCUGCCCUUCGGGGCUUCAGUGAAGGUGCUGCAUGGUUGUCGUCAGCUCGUGCCGUGAGGUGUCGGCUUAAGUGCCAUAACGAGCGCAACCCUUUUCUUCAGUUGCCAUCAGGUAGUGCUGGGCCCUCUGGAGAUACUGCCGCCGUAAGGUGUGAGGAAGGUGGGGAUGACGUCAAAUCAGCACGGCCCUUACGUCCGGGGCUACACACGUGUUACAAUGGGUGGUACAGCGAGCAGGGUUACCGCAAGGUAUCCCGAAUCAUUAAAUCCGCCCUCAGUUCGGACUGGGGUCUGCAACCCGACCCCACGAAGCUGGAUUCGCUAGUAAUCGCGCAUCAGCCAUGGCGCGGUGAAUACGUUCCCGGGCCUUGUACACACCGCCCGUCAAGCCAUGAAAGCCGGGGGUGCCUGAAGUCCGUGACCGCAAGGAUCGGCCUAGGGCAAAACUGGUAAUUGGGGCUAAGUCGUAACAAGGUAGCCGUACCGGAAGGUGCGGCUGGAACACCUCCUUU